CCUACGGGAGGCAGCAGUGGGGAAUCUUGCGCAAUGGGCGAAAGCCUGACGCAGCCAUGCCGCGUGGAUGAUGAAGGUCUUAGGAUUGUAAAAUCCUUUCACCGGUGAAGAUAAUGACUGUAGCCGGAGAAGAAGCCCCGGUUAACUUCGUGCCAGCAGCCGCGGUAAUACGAAGGGGGCUAGCGUUGCUCGGAAUUACUGGGCGUAAAGGGAGCGUAGGCGGACGUUUAAGUCAGGGGUGAAAUCCCAGAGCUCAACUCUGGAACUGCCUUUGAUACUGGGUGUCUUGAGUGUGAUAGAGGUAUGUGGAACUCCGAGUGUAGAGGCGAAAUUCGUAGAUAUUCGGAAGAACACCAGUGGCGAAGGCGACAUACUGGAUCAUUACUGACGCUGAGGCUCGAAAGCGUGGGGAGCAAACAGGAUUAGAUACCCUGGUAGUCCACGCCGUAAACGAUGAUUGCUAGUUGUCGGGUUGUUUACAACUCGGUGACGCAGCUAACGCAUUAAGCAAUCCGCCUGGGGAGUACGGUCGCAAGAUUAAAACUCAAAGGAAUUGACGG
RNAcentral lists this ribosomal RNA (560 nucleotides) under uncultured bacterium. RNAcentral's name for it is "bacterial SSU rRNA". It matches the Rfam family "Bacterial small subunit ribosomal RNA", at positions 338 to 916 of the family's 1533-position model. The record is from RNAcentral.